This 464-nucleotide ribosomal RNA is filed under the name uncultured bacterium. RNAcentral's name for it is "bacterial SSU rRNA". It matches the Rfam family "Bacterial small subunit ribosomal RNA", at positions 29 to 531 of the family's 1533-position model. The record is from RNAcentral.
AACGAACGCUGGCGGCAGGCUUAACACAUGCAAGUCGAACGAGAUCUUCGGAUCUAGUGGCGCACGGGUGAGUAACGCGUGGGAAUCUACCUUGGAGUCUGGGAUAACAGUUGGAAACGACUGCUAAUACCGGGAUACGCCCUUAGGGGGAAAGGUUUACUGCUCCGAGAUGAGCCCGCGUCCAAUUAGGUAGUUGGUGAGGUAAAGGCUCACCAAGCCGACGAUUGGUAGCUGGUCUGAGAGGAUGACCAGCCACACUGGGACUGAGACACGGCCCAGACUCCUACGGGAGGCAGCAGUGGGGAAUAUUGGACCAAUGGGGGCAACCCUGAUCCAGCCAUGCCGCGUGAGUGAUCGAAGGCCUUAGGGUUGUAAAGCUCUUUCGCCGGUGACGAUGAUGACGGUAACCGGAGGAGAAGUCCCGGCUAACUUCGUGCCAGCAGCCGUCGGUAAUGUAUCGUACG